RNAcentral lists this unclassified non-coding RNA (376 nucleotides) under uncultured bacterium. Its description in RNAcentral is "contains 16S-23S intergenic spacer region". The record is from RNAcentral.
UCCGAGUUGACCCCGGCAGUCUCCUACGAGUCCCCACCAUUACGUGCUGGCAACAUAGGACAAGGGUUGCGCUCGUUGCGGGACUUAACCCGACAUCUCACGACACGAGCUGACGACAGCCAUGCACCACCUGUACACAGGCCACAAGGGAAUACCUAUCUCUAGGCACGUCCUGUGCAUGUCAAACCCAGGUAAGGUUCUUCGCGUUGCGUCGAAUUAAACCACAUGCUCCACCGCUUGUGCGGGCCCCCGUCAAUUCGUUUGAGUUUCAGCCUUGCGACCGUACUCCCCAGGCGGGGCACUUACUGCGUUAGCGCCGGCACCGACGGGAUUAUACCGCCGACACCUAGUGCCCAUCGUUUACAGCGUGGACUAC